This 82-nucleotide ribosomal RNA is filed under the name uncultured bacterium. Its description in RNAcentral is "partial 16S ribosomal RNA". It matches the Rfam family "Bacterial small subunit ribosomal RNA", at positions 273 to 354 of the family's 1533-position model. The record is from RNAcentral.
ACGACGAUGCGUAGGGGUUCUGAGAGGAAGGUCCCCCACACUGGUACUGAGACACGGACCAGGCUCCUACGGAAGGCAGCAG